This is a non-coding RNA of Amborella trichopoda, 86 nucleotides long. Lineage: Eukaryota; Viridiplantae; Streptophyta; Magnoliopsida; Amborellales; Amborellaceae. The record is from Rfam.
GAGUGGGGUGAUGACUAUGAUUGUUUCCCUAUUGGUUUGAUUGCCAGAAUGAUGGCAUAUGCGAUAUUAGCUCUAUCUGACCACUC